AGCAAGCACCGGCUAACUCCGUGCCAGCAGCCGCGGUAAUACGGAGGGUGCAAGCGUUACUCGGAAUCACUGGGCGUAAAGCGCGCGCAGGCGGCUAUUUAAGUUGGAUGUGAAAGCCUACGGCUCAACCGUAGAACUGCAUCCAAAACUAUUUAGCUAGAGUGUGGGAGAGGAAGAUGGAAUUAGUUGCGUAGGGGUAAAAUCCGUAGAGAUAACUAGGAAUACCAAAAGCGAAGGCAAUCUUCUGGAACAUUACUGACGCUGAGGCGCGAAAGCGUGGGGAGCAAACAGGAUUAGAUACCCUGGUAGUCCACGCCCUAAACGAUGAAUGUUAGUCGUCGGGUAGCUAGUCUAUUCGGUGAUGCAGCUAACGCAUUAAACAUUCCGCCUGGGGAGUACGGUCGCAAGAUUAAAACUCAAAGGAAUAGACGGGGACCCGCACAAGUGGUGGAGCAUGUGGUUUAAUUCGAAGAUACGCGAAGAACCUUACCUAGCCUUGACAUAUAUUAGAACUCCGCAGAGAUGCAGAGGUGCCUUCGGGAGCUUUUAUACAGGUGCUGCACGGCUGUCGUCAGCUCGUGUCGUGAGAUGUUGGGUUAAGUCCCGCAACGAGCGCAACCCUCGUCACUAGUUACUAACGGUUCGGCCGAGGACUCUAGUGAGACUGCCUUCGUAAGGAGGAGGAAGGUGAGGACGACGUCAAGUCAUCAUGGCCCUUACGGCUAGGGCAACACACGUGCUACAAUGGCCAGGACAGUGAGAAGCGAUACCGCGAGGUGGAGCAAAUCUAUAAACCUGGUCUCAGUUCGGAUUGUAGUCUGCAACUCGACUACAUGAAGC
This 840-nucleotide ribosomal RNA is filed under the name uncultured bacterium. RNAcentral's name for it is "bacterial SSU rRNA". It matches the Rfam family "Bacterial small subunit ribosomal RNA", at positions 485 to 1326 of the family's 1533-position model. The record is from RNAcentral.